UGAGUAACCUGCCCUUAACUCUGGGAUAAGCCUGGGAAACUGGGUCUAAUACCGGAUAUGACUCCUCAUCGCAUGGUGGGGGUGGAAAGCUUUAUUGUGGUUUGGAUGGACUCGCGGCCUAUCAGCUUGUUGGUGAGGUGAUGGCUCACCAAGGCGACGACGGGUAGCCGGCCUGAGAGGGUGACCGGCCACACUGGGACUGAGACACGACCCAGACUCCUACGGGAGGCAG
RNAcentral lists this ribosomal RNA (232 nucleotides) under uncultured bacterium. RNAcentral describes it as "partial 16S ribosomal RNA". It matches the Rfam family "Bacterial small subunit ribosomal RNA", at positions 118 to 351 of the family's 1533-position model. The record is from RNAcentral.